AUGCUGGUAGACGAAUAGCUUGGUUUUGGUUUUGAUGAAGAACGUGGCAAGCUGCGAUAAGCUCGGGGGAGCCGCAUGCAGGCAUUAAUCCCGAGAUUUUUGAAUGCGCCGAGAGGCGGAAAUACGCUGGGAAUUGAAACAUCUUAGUACCGGCAGGAAAAGAAAACAAUUUGUGAUUCCCUUAUUAGCAGAGAGCGAAAAGGGAUCAGGGCGAACUGAAUCUUUCUUCGAAAGAGGAAUAGAGAUGUGGUGAGGGUAAAUAACUAAGUCAUUAGUCAAAGUCUCCUGGAACGGAGCACCGUAGAGGGUGAUAGUCCCGUAGAUAAAUGUGAUACGUUGUUCCUCAACGAGUAAGGCUUCCUGGAUUGGAGGUCCGAAUAUGGCAGGAUUAACUGCUAACCCUAAAUAAAACCAAAGUCCGAUAGUGAACUAGUACCGCGAGGGAAAGCUGAAAAGUACUCUUAAUAGAGUGUGAAAAGACUUGAAAUCUACCAGUUACAGUUUGUUACGAAUCUUAAAAAGGGUUUGUAACGUACGUUUCGAAAAACGGGCCAGGGAGUUUUUUUAUGUGGCAAGGUUAACUUUUUUUGAAAGGAAGCCGUAGCGAGAGCAAGUAUGAAAAUGCGUUAGUCACAUGGAUAAGACCUGAAGCCAGAUGAUCUAUCCAUGGGCAAGCUGAAGUCUUUCGAAAGGAGGAUGGAGGGCUGAACCGUUGUUAUGGACAUGUACUCGAAUGAUCUGUGGAUAGGGGUGAAAAGCCUAUCUAAUUUGGCGAUGGCUGGUUCCUGCUGAAAUAUGCCUACGUAUAGUCUUGUUUUGCUUGUAAGCGGUGUAAAGUACGGAUGAAUCUUGCAGGGGCUAUUGCUUACGGAGAUUUUUUCAACUCAGAAACUGUUUACUGCAUUGGACAAGAAACAGGGUCAGUAUGUAAGAUACUGUUCCGAGACCUAAACAAAGGAGAUCAAAGUUAAGGUCCCAAAAUUUGUGCUAAGUGUAUCAAAAGGUGUCUUGAACCUGAGACACUAGGGAUGUAAGCUCAGAAGCAGCUAUCAUUUAAAGAAAGCGUAACAGCUCACCUAUUGAGGUUCAGGGCCCUGAAAAUGGACGGGGCUAAAGCACAAUACCGAUACUUUGACGGCACCCAGAAGGGUGUUCGGGUAAGCAGGCGUGGUAUUUGCGCAGAAGUUUUUACGAGAGUAAGGAUGGAGCGAAUACUAAUGAGAAUCCUGGUAAUAGUAGGAAGUGAUUUUACUGAGAAUGUAAAACGUCGAAAGGGUAAGGUUUCCUCAGCAAUAUAUGUUAGCUGAGGGUUAGUCAGCACCUAAGUUGUAUCCUAACCGAGUACAACGAUGGAUGACAGGUUAAUAUUCCUGUACUGAUUGAACCUUUUGUAAAUUAUCGCUUUCGGAUAAGCAAGCACUCGAAAGGGUGUUUUAACAAGAAAUCUGUCGAGGGUAAUCCAUAGACACAGAUGAAUUUUUGAAUUCGUUGCUGAUUCCAAGAGCCAGUGAAAAGUAAUUUGCUUAACGGGUUUAGUUAGCUGUACCCAUAACCAGCACUGGUGCCCUAGCUUAGAAGGCUAAGACGUGAAGGGUAAAACCAAUUGAGGGAAUUCGGCAAGUUAGUCCUGUAUCUUCGGAUGAAGGGAUGUCUAUCUUUGUGAGCUUCAGAAAUGUGUUUGCAUUAGUAGAUCUCAGUAACAAGGACGGCCCGACUGUUUACCAAAAACGUAGCCAAGUGCAAAUCAGAAAUGACUCGUAUACUUGGUGAAACCUGCUCAGUGGUGGUGUCUAAAACUCCUUUUCAAGGGAGCUAAGGUCCAUUAAACAGCGGGGGUAACUAUGACCCUCUUAAGGUAGCGUAAUACCUUGUCGUAUGAAUUGCGACUUGCAUGAAUGGUUUAACGAGGUUGUUACUGUCCCCAAUUGGAGCCCUCUGAAAAUAUUUUCUGGUGCAAAGACCAGAGACGCCUAGUGGGAAGCGAAGACCUUGUGGAACUUUACUGCAACUUGUUGUUGUGAAUUUAAUUAAAAUGCAUAGCAUAGGUAGGAGCGUCGAAACCCUCAUUUCGGUGGGGGUGGAGCAAAAUUGUAAUACUACCCAUUUUGUUUAAGUUUGCUUACUCUUUAGGGGACAGCAGCAGGCGGGCAGUUUGGCUGGGGCGGCGCCCUGUCGAAAAGAUAUCGAUAGGACCCAAAGACAAGCUCAUCCAGCUUGGAAAUCUGGAGAUGAGUGCGAAGGCAAAAGCUUGUCUAACUGUAUUUUGAAAAGCAAGAAAUGCAGAGACGAAAGUCGGGCUUAGUGAACCCACGUACUUUUUUAAUAGAAGUCGUGUCUGAUAGAAAAGUUACCCCAAGGAUAAUAAGCUGGUCGCUCCCGAUAGUCCAUAUUGACGGAGCGGUUUGGUAUUUCGCUGUCGGCUCUC
RNAcentral lists this ribosomal RNA (2425 nucleotides) under invertebrate metagenome. Its description in RNAcentral is "bacterial LSU rRNA". It matches the Rfam family "Archaeal large subunit ribosomal RNA", at positions 15 to 2609 of the family's 2987-position model. The record is from RNAcentral.